RNAcentral lists this long non-coding RNA (724 nucleotides) under Nicotiana benthamiana. RNAcentral's name for it is "long non-coding RNA (NBEN_LNC028176)". Lineage: Eukaryota; Viridiplantae; Streptophyta; Magnoliopsida; Solanales; Solanaceae. The record is from RNAcentral.
CCCUCCCCAAUCUCUAAGACCUAGCCAAACUACCCCCUUUCUUUUCACAUGAACCCAUCAAAUAUACAUUUGGAGUUAACCUAGGAAUCCCUAGGAAGAGGCAGCCAUUUUCCAUGAGAUUUGGACAAGAAAAAAUAACGCAUCAGACAACUCCUCUGAUUUUUUCAAUUCAACAGCUCGCCGGAAAAGAACCCACUGCAGCUGACCACCCAAAUCCGCUGGACUUCUUCUUUUCCUUGUUACGUGAAGAACCAGAACCCAUCCCCAGCCAUUUUCGUCACACUCACUAAAGAACCAUAAUCCUCCUUCACCACAACAACCAACGAGCCUUGCUUCUAAGCAACCAAGAACAGUCGCCCAAAAUCCACCCUAAGAUGCCAGAAACACGCACACACAAUCAUAAAUAGAAGGAUAGACAAGAUCAAAGGAGACAAUAAAUCGAUGGGGAAAAAUAUAAAAAAAAUUCCAGUUUUCUGCUUCUCAAAUACGGAAAAAUACACUCAGUCUGUGAUUUUUGAUCUUCUCAUGGAGUUGAACUUGAAUUCGAGAUUGGGGUUUUAUCGAGGUUGAUGCCGAUUCGAGUUUCCAUCCACAUUUCGUUACAUUUUGAGCUCAAAACAGUUAUAUAAUCGUCUUUCAACUAUAUUUGAGGUCUAUUAUUCCCUUUCCUUAUUGUUCUUUUACUUAAUAUCAUGGAAUUGAUAACCCCCUUAAUUUGUUGUUG